RNAcentral lists this non-coding RNA (21 nucleotides) under Caenorhabditis elegans. Lineage: Eukaryota; Metazoa; Nematoda; Chromadorea; Rhabditida; Rhabditidae. The record is from RNAcentral.
UGGAUUUGCAAAAAGUAGAAU